Molecule: ribosomal RNA, 642 nt
Filed under: Schizothrix sp. WUC1451
Lineage: Bacteria; Bacillati; Cyanobacteriota; Cyanophyceae; Leptolyngbyales; Schizotrichaceae
Description: bacterial SSU rRNA
Rfam family: Bacterial small subunit ribosomal RNA
Source: RNAcentral
ACGCGUGAGAAUCUGCCUUAGGGUCGGGGACAACCGUUGGAAACGACGGCUAAUACCGCAUAUGGCGAGAGCUAAAAGCUUAAUGUGCCUGAGGAUGAACUCGCGUCUGAUUAGCUAGUUGGUGAAGUAAAGGUUUACCAAGGCGACGAUCAGUAGCUGGUCUGAGAGGAUGAUCAGCCACACUGGGACUGAGACACGGCCCAGACUCCUACGGGAGGCAGCAGUGGGGAAUUUUCCGCAAUGGGCGAAAGCCUGACGGAGCAAUACCGCGUGAGGGAGGAAGGCUCUUGGGUUGUAAACCUCUUUUGAUUGGGAAGAAGAACUGACGGUACCUGAGGAAUCAGCAUCGGCUAACUCCGUGCCAGCAGCCGCGGUAAUACGGAGGAUGCAAGCGUUAUCCGGAAUUAUUGGGCGUAAAGCGUCCGUAGGUGGCUGGUCAAGUCUGCUGUUAAAGAGCGGGGCUUAACUCUGGGCAGGCGGUGGAAACUGAUCAACUAGAGUGUGGUAGGGGUAGAGGGAAUUCCCAGUGUAGCGGUGAAAUGCGUAGAUAUUGGGAAGAACACCGGUGGCGAAGGCGCUCUACUGGACCAGAACUGACACUGAGGGACGAAAGCUAGGGGAGCGAAUGGAAUUAGAUACCCC